This 460-nucleotide ribosomal RNA is filed under the name uncultured bacterium. Its description in RNAcentral is "partial 16S ribosomal RNA". It matches the Rfam family "Bacterial small subunit ribosomal RNA", at positions 338 to 795 of the family's 1533-position model. The record is from RNAcentral.
CCUACGGGAGGCAGCAGUGAGGAAUAUUGGUCAAUGGACGAGAGUCUGAACCAGCCAAGUAGCGUGAAGGAUGACUGCCCUAUGGGUUGUAAACUUCUUUUAUAUGGGAAUAAAAUGUUCCACGUGUGGGAUUUUGUAUGUACCAUAUGAAUAAGGAUCGGCUAACUCCGUACCAGCAGCCGCGUUAAUACGGAGGAUCCGAGCUUUAUCCGGAUUUAUUGGGUUUAAAGGGAGCGUAGGUGGAUUGUUAAGUCAGUUGUGAAAGUGUGCGGCUCAACCGUAAAAUUGCAGUUGAAACUGGCAGGCUUGAGUACAGUAGAGGUGGGCGGAAUUUGUGGUGUAGCGGUGAAAUGCUUAGAUAUCACGAAGAACUCCGAUUGAGAAGGCAGUUCACUGGACUGCAACUGACACUGAGGCUCGAAAGUGUGGGUAUCAAACAGGAUUAGAUACCCCUGUAGUC